GUCGCUAUUACGGAUUGGAUUAUUUAGUGAGGUCUCUGGACCUUACCACUGUUUUAUGUAUUGCAGAUGUCUGGAAAAAGUUGACCGAAUUUGAUUAUUUAGAGCAAGUAAAAGUC
Molecule: ribosomal RNA, 116 nt
Filed under: Glossina brevipalpis
Lineage: Eukaryota; Metazoa; Arthropoda; Insecta; Diptera; Glossinidae
Description: eukaryotic small subunit ribosomal RNA
Source: RNAcentral